Molecule: ribosomal RNA, 253 nt
Filed under: uncultured bacterium
Lineage: Bacteria
Description: partial 16S ribosomal RNA
Rfam family: Bacterial small subunit ribosomal RNA
Source: RNAcentral
UACGUAGGGGGCAAGCGUUGUCCGGAAUCAUUGGGCGUAAAGAGCGUGUAGGCGGCUCGAUAAGUCUCCUGUGAAAGUCCAGGGCUCAACCCUGGAAGGCCGGUGGAAACUGUCGGGCUAGAGUCCGGAAGAGGCGAGUGGAAUUCCCGGUGUAGCGGUGAAAUGCGCAGAUAUCGGGAGGAACACCAAUGGCGAAGGCAGCUCGCUGGGACGGUACUGACGCUGAGACGCGAAAGCGUGGGGAGCAAACAGG